GCGUGGAUGGCGGAAUGGCAGACGCGCUACGUUGAGGUCGUAGUGAGAAAGUUUCUCGUGAGGGUUCAAAUCCCUUUCCGCGCA
RNAcentral lists this transfer RNA (84 nucleotides) under Lactobacillales bacterium. RNAcentral describes it as "tRNA-Leu". It matches the Rfam family "tRNA". Rfam says of the family: Transfer RNA (tRNA) molecules are approximately 80 nucleotides in length. Their secondary structure includes four short double-helical elements and three loops (D, anti-codon, and T loops). Lineage: Bacteria; Bacillati; Bacillota; Bacilli; Lactobacillales. The record is from RNAcentral.